RNAcentral lists this ribosomal RNA (248 nucleotides) under Rhodococcus jostii. RNAcentral's name for it is "partial 16S ribosomal RNA". It matches the Rfam family "Bacterial small subunit ribosomal RNA", at positions 717 to 963 of the family's 1533-position model. The record is from RNAcentral. Lineage: Bacteria; Bacillati; Actinomycetota; Actinomycetes; Mycobacteriales; Nocardiaceae.
GAAGGCGGGUCUCUGGGCAGUAACUGACGCUGAGGAACGAAAGCGUGGGUAGCGAACAGGAUUAGAUACCCUGGUAGUCCACGCCGUAUACGGUGGGCGCUAGGUGUGGGUUCCUUCCACGGAAUCUGUGCCGUAGCUAACGCAUUAAGCGCCCCGCCUGGGGAGUACGGCCGCAAGGCUAAAACUCAAAGGAAUUGACGGGGGCCCGCACAAGCGGCGGAGCAUGUGGAUUAAUUCGAUGCAACGCG